GAUUGAGUGGCGGACGGGUGAGUAACGCGUGGGUAACCUACCCUGUACAGGGGGAUAACAGUCAGAAAUGACUGCUAAUACCGCAUAAGACCACAGCACCGCAUGGUGCAGGGGUAAAAACUCCGGUGGUACAGGAUGGACCCGCGUCUGAUUAGCUGGUUGGUGAGGUAACGGCUCACCAAGGCGACGAUCAGUAGCCGGCUUGAGAGAGUGAACGGCCACAUUGGGACUGAGACACGGCCCAAACUCCUACGGGAGGCAGCAGUGGGGAAUAUUGCACAAUGGGGGAAACCCUGAUGCAGCGACGCCGCGUGAGUGAAGAAGUAUUUCGGUAUGUAAAGCUCUAUCAGCAGGGAAGAAAAUGACGGUACCUGACUAAGAAGCCCCGGCUAACUACGUGCCAGCAGCCGCGGUAAUACGUAGGGGGCAAGCGUUAUCCGGAAUUACUGGGUGUAAAGGGUGCGUAGGUGGUAUGGCAAGUCAGAAGUGAAAACCCAGGGCUUAACUCUGGGACUGCUUUUGAAACUGUCAGACUAGAGUGCAGGAGAGGUAAGCGGAAUUCCCGGUGUAGCGGUGGAAUGCGUAGAUAUCGGGAGGA
RNAcentral lists this ribosomal RNA (598 nucleotides) under uncultured Lachnospiraceae bacterium. RNAcentral's name for it is "bacterial SSU rRNA". It matches the Rfam family "Bacterial small subunit ribosomal RNA", at positions 89 to 705 of the family's 1533-position model. Lineage: Bacteria; Bacillati; Bacillota; Clostridia; Lachnospirales; Lachnospiraceae. The record is from RNAcentral.